RNAcentral lists this ribosomal RNA (442 nucleotides) under uncultured bacterium. RNAcentral describes it as "partial 16S ribosomal RNA". It matches the Rfam family "Bacterial small subunit ribosomal RNA", at positions 338 to 795 of the family's 1533-position model. The record is from RNAcentral.
CCUACGGGUGGCAGCAGUGGGGAAUAUUGGGCAAUGGGCGCAAGCCUGACCCAGCAAUGCCGCGUGAAGGAAGAAGGCUUUCUGGUUGUACACUUCUUUGACAGGGGAAGAGCAGAAGACGGUACCCUGAACACAAUCCACGCCUAACUACGGGCCAGCAGCCGCGGUAAUACGUAGGUGGCAAGCGUUGUCCGGAUUUGCUGGGUGUAAAGGGCGUGUAGCCGGGAAGGCAAGUCAGAUGUGAAAUCUGGAGGCUCAACCUCCAAAUUGCAUUUGAAACUGUUUUUCUUGAGUACGGGAGAGGCAGACGGAAGUCCUUGUGUAGCGGUGAAAUGCGUAGAUAUAAGGAGGAACACCAGUGGCGAAGGCGGUCUGCUGGACAGCAACUGACGGUGAGGCGCGAAAGCGUGGGGAGCAAACAGGAUUAGAUACCCGUGUAGUC